This 647-nucleotide long non-coding RNA is filed under the name Nicotiana benthamiana. Its description in RNAcentral is "long non-coding RNA (NBEN_LNC030864)". The record is from RNAcentral. Lineage: Eukaryota; Viridiplantae; Streptophyta; Magnoliopsida; Solanales; Solanaceae.
UUUGGGACUGAUUCUCUCUUAUUUUGGUCUUGCCCAUGAUUCUUUGAUUGAUUUUCAUGGUUAAUUUAUAUGGUUACUAUAACUGUGCAUUUAAGUAUAUUUUUUAGGAUCCCGUGUAUAUUUUUCCUUGCUUGAAUCAUUGUGUACCUAGACUUUAUUACAUGUAGCAUGCUUACUGCUUUUGUUAUGGUAUAAUCAGUCAUCUGACUUAUUCUUUCCUUACUUGGUAUCCUAUACUCCUAUUCGAAUCAUGAGCCCCAGAUUUAGUUGAAUUAGGACCAUUGAUUGAUUCAAUUUGGUAUUGUUUCUAUAAUUAUAUACUCCUUACCCUAUUCUCUACUAUUUUUCGAAAACUAUACGUACUGCUAUUCCUUUCUCACUUAACACACACCAACACAUUGCAAUCUCUCUGAACUCUUUUUCAAAAACACUUAGUGCUCUCUUUUUCUCUAGUGUUUCUGUACAAACUCUCUCAUUCUUCUAUUGAACACUCAAUCGGCUAAAAGCCAAGAUUGAGUAAUCUUGGCUGUUAAUUUCAAAUGUUGGGGUUCUAUUGCAUUAUUUACUUGGUUUUGCCUGCUGCUUCCUUCUCUGCACACUGCUGCACUCACUCUCUACACACUUUGCUCUCCUUUGUGCACUAUGGC